UCCCCCUCCCCGUGCAGGGGGGCGAGCGGGCGGGCUUCCCCUCAGGCCCACCCAGCGUAGCCCGCGGGAGAAGCCAGGCCCCGCCCGCGCUGCGGGGCUGGGGGCGCGAACCGGCGGGCGGGAAGAGAGUCAGUACCUGCUCCGCCGCCGCCGGAGCUGGGACAGUAACCGAGCGCAGGCCCCGCCGCUGCCGCCGCCGCUGCCGCAACAGGGACUGUCCGCAGUCCGCACAGCGCCACCCUGCGGGCCCGCCCGCCGGGGAGCCCAGCGGCUGCGCCUCGGAGCCGGGGCGUGCGUGGGGCCAGGGAGUGAGAAGGGGCCGCACCCCACCCUGCACAGCAAACUGCCCCGUAUCCCCCACGGGGGGACCCGCACCGCGAAUCCCCAGCAGCAUCUCUGCCCCAGUGUUCAUGGGCGGGACACCGCACCCGGCUGAGCCCUCCCUGGGGAGUGAGGUAUAGUUGGGAUUAUCAUUGCUUGUCUUCCUGUCAGUAUCCCAGUGUAGGUAUUGCGAUAUACCAGAGACAUGCAUGAGCACCCUAGAAGGCUUCCAAACCAAAAUACCUCAACGUUCAUAAAUGUACCAGAGGCCAUGUUAUAAAUAUGGACUGGGAUAAAGGAGAAGAUUGACCAUUUGAAUAUUUUGUUUAUGGAACUGCUUUCUCUGAGGUUGAAAUUGACUAUCUUACAGGAGAUCAUAAGAUAAUAAAAACUACAAUUAGAUCUGGAGCAGGAGUGGUCAAUAGGUGGACCACAGGCCAAAUCCAGACUGCCAGAUGCUUUUGAAUGGACCCCAAAAUCUUUUUAUUUACUUAAUAUCAUUAUUGUUAUUUUUUAUUAUUAUUAUUUUCUCUGGAGUCUGGACUUUGGCUAUACUUUGAUGAAGAAAUCCGGACCUUGACAAGAAAUAAUCGACUACCUUUUGUCUGGAGAAUAAAUUCACAAAGAUUUUUGAGCUGGUGCUGAACAGAGGAGAAUGUACAUAGUUAUAUUCAGCCAAUACAAUUUACAGCAAAAAAUUCAGAAAAUUAUGAAUCAAGAAUACUACUUUUCAGUAUAAUAUUGCACUGGUACUACAAAACAUACACACAUACAAAAAUUAAUGAAUAUUUUCUUUACCUACAUGUCAGUAUAUUGCUGCAUCAUAUAUUGAUUAGACCAUUCAGUAAAUUUAAACAAUACUUGUUUACUAUUUAUUGUGCAUGUGAUCCAUAAAGCAUGUACUAUGUAUGAUGUAUUAAAGUGUUUUGCACUUGCCAUAUUGUUCUUUCCUAACCUAUCUGGUGAAUGAAAAUAUAUCAAUUUGACUUAAGAUAAAAGUAACUGCUGUUUCCAGUGCCACAACAUAAUUUGCUGUGCCUAAAACUAUUUGUAACCAUUUGUUGUGGAUAUUUAUGGCUGUGGUUAUUGUUGUGGAUAUUUUAUAUAGUUAAAUAUUAUAAUACAAUAACACAAUCUAAACAGUUUGUAUUUUUAUUUCCAAAGUA
Molecule: long non-coding RNA, 1487 nt
Organism: Mauremys reevesii (Reeves's turtle)
Lineage: Eukaryota; Metazoa; Chordata; Testudines; Geoemydidae
Exons: 4
Source: RefSeq, a predicted model, not a curated record